AGCAUUUGGAGCAUGUGAGGAGCUGCCAGAGAAAAUCUCUAAUAUUUUAAUUUCUGCUGCUUCAGGUAUGAAUAUCUUAUAUGGCUUUUGGUUUUUGAUGUUCCUUGAGUUGGUGUUAGUUUAGGAACUUCAUCACUGACACUAGUGUAAAAACUGAGUGAUUACACAGGUCUUUUUAUGGAGUUAUGUCUUCACCCACCUACACAUAGAGAGGCUGUAAAUGUGUGCAGGUCUUAGUGCUUCUGACUUAAUAUAACCACUGCAUCUUGUGGCAGUGGUCUGUGAAGGAUUCUUAGCACAGCAGCUCUGGCUCUCGGUUGCUUCCACUGUGUUUCUCUGCAGCCUUUGCUGCAGCAAUUGUGCUUUUCCAUAUUGCUAUGUUUUCCCAUGACCCAGGAAUCGUUUUUGUUUAAGGAAGCUUGAUCUUGUCUUGCAGAUGCUCAGCCUGAAGCAUGACACAGCAGGUCACAUAUAGUGGUGUGAGUGUGUGGGUCCUCCAGUGACUGUACAUGUGGGAAAUACGCGUUUUGCUUCCUGAAAUAUGUGCAUUAAAGAAAACAGUAAUGAGACAGGUGGAGUGAAACCCCUUUUCUAGCUUAGGACAUACUCAGCCAUCGCACCAUUUUAAAUGCAGUCACAUAGCCCUAGUACCUCACUGCUUUCUGAGGUCUUGGGGAUGGUGACUUUUAUAGCUUUUCAUAAAGUGGAUAGAAUGGAGUUGCUCAGAAAUCCCCAGUAGACAAAAGAAUAUCACGAGUCCCAUUUUGUUGGGUAGAUGGAGUUAUUGGCAGGCUGAGUGAGACAUUCAGCCAAGACAACUCAAGUGGGUUUGUGAGUACCCAGAUGCCUGUGUAGAUGUUUUCUGGUGCAUUCAAGCCAGUUGAUACUCUGCUGCCUCAUAAGCAAACAAUGGCAUGAGUGGCUGGGCUGUGAUGUGGUUGCUGUGGUGGACUGGAGCUGUAAUUCAGUGGCUGAGAGACCUGGAUUCAAUUCUGUGCUCCACCACAGACUUCCCAUCUGACUGGGGCCCAGCUCCUUACUCUGUCUGGGGUGGUCUGGCUUGCACAACACAGCCUUGUGCAGAGAUCCUGGGGCUGGUAUCAGCCAAAGUCUAGCUCCCUGGGAGCUCUUUAGCUCUGCUGAGGACACAGACCUGUAGGGCCAUGUUGGUGACCCUCUCUGCCUGCUCUGGACCAAGAAGACCUCACAGCAUUUGGAGCUAAUGGAGGAUUGCUAGUACAGCACUGAGGUGUGUGAUACAGGCAGACCUCCCUUUCCCAUCUGCAGUAGUUGUUUCUGCUUCAUAAAGGAGGUAAAUAGGCUAGUGACUGCGAGGUGCAGUCGUGGUGAAGAAGGUCAUCAAUACGUGCGAGGGUGAUACCAUUUUAUCCCUACCCUGCGUAGGAGUGUGUAAGUACGUGAUGGAUAGCUUAUGGAGUCUCCAGCAGGGCUUCAGGCAGAGCCUAGUGGUCUUCUUUCUUUCUCACGUGGCUCAACACGAGACCUCCUUGCUUGUGAGUUAAGGUAAUAGUGACCUUCCGUGGGGCCCAGUCUCUGUUCCCAGUGGUGCUGUUUGUUAAGGGAGCUUACGUUUUCCUGGGGAACGACCAAUGCCUGACUGUAGAUGUGUUCUGAAGUCUUAUCUGUGCCUUAUCUGUCUCUGAAAAGGCAAACAUGAAACUUCAGUUCUUUAUUUGCCUGCAUGCUUUUAAGGUAUCACAACCUUGAAAGUAGAGUGACUUUUAAGAUAUCACAACCUUGAAAGUGAGUAGAGUAGAUUCGAAAGCUUUUUGCUUUCGAAUUGACGACCUCAGUGCUAACAAAUGUUGUUUCUCAAAUGUGAAAUGAAUCCUGCGUUUUUCUCUCCUCUUCCCACUUUCUUUUCCCUAUCCCAUGCCCCAGCUCCACGCAUUUUUUUCUGUCCUGGGGUUUCAGCUGUAUUUAGUAAGGUCUGGAUCAAGAUGGAGACCAGAAGAGUCAAGAGACAAAAUGGGGAGAAGUGCUUGACCACAGGAGGCUGGUGGCACAGGAUGUGGGAAUGCAGCGAGGAGAGAGUGGUAGCUUCCCUGCUCAGUUCCAACCACAGAAGACACUGUGAAGACAAGCCAUCAAAAGUGUCAGCUCUUACAGGAAACAUUUCAGAUCAAAUCACCACUCUUCAGAAUAAAUGGAGAAUUCUUUCCUUCCCAUCUUUUGUGACUUCAGUGCAGCUACUCCUGAUGGAUAAACAAUUCAGGCAGAUUCAGGCUCAUGUCUCAGCACAGCGGAAAUAUUACAAAAGUGUUGCGCUGAAUGCUUAAAUAAUUGGCUCACAAGCAAGAGCAUUCACAGGAGUGCACACUGUGAUACACAUUAUACGCUGCUUCUUGCUGGUGGGACAGUACCCUGCAAUCACACCCCACAGAUGGGCUCACAUAAUGUUUGCUGAGUCGAAAACUUUUUCUGUACAUAAAAAAGCACUAAAACCCCAUUUUCAGCAUCGUAUGCCAGAUGCUGGUGUGUGUUUGAAUGGCUGAAUUCUUGCCUUUCUACAACAUGUUGCAAAAUUGAUUCUGACUGAAGCACAGAAUUUACAGCAAUUUAGGAGAAGAACGAAGGCUGUUGCUGAUGAGGCUCCCAUCCAUGUCAGCAUUUUGAGAUGAGGACACCCUAGUUGGGCAGUGCAGUCCCUUCAGAUCAGGCCAGGCUUGUGUAACUUGGGUUUCAUUGAGAAGCGUGUAGCCAUCUGAACCAUGCACUGAGAACCUGAUUCUGCUCUGCUGCAGGUUUUUUGCUGUGCCCAGCUAGCAGGCGACUUUAGCUUUUAUCAGUCGCUGAAAUUCUGAAGGAAACAUCAGAAGUUAAAAUGCCUUUUUUUUGGAGGUGUAACACUACUGACUCAUUAGUUCACAGCUGCCCUGACGUUUUAUCAGCAGAAGGGAGCUGCACAACUUGGGAUCAACACAAUAAAAACUGAAUGACAAAUGAGUUGGCCACACCACUGCUUUAGUUCGAUCUCAGUAACAGAGGUCUCUGGUGGUGUCUCUCCAUGGGGAUGUUUUCAGGGUGGUCUCUGCAGGGUGAAGAUUUUGCGGCUGGGGGAAGAGGAGAGAGGAAGACAGCCUAGCUGGAGAAAUGAGGGCAUCUGUGAAGAAGCUGGCUGAGCAUCGCAGGAGCUGCAGGAACAUUUACUUGACUCCUUGUUUCUGAAGAAAGGUCAACAGCAGCUAUUGUGGUGUGGUGGUGAUUUAUUCAGCCCAACUGCUAGUGAAGGUCUGGACUAAGCUGGAGGGCUUCCUCCUGCUUUUUGACAGUGACUCUGUUGUUGCACAUACAGGAAACACCUCGAGGGGGUCAGGCAGGGAAAUAUGCUUAAUUUGAAAUCCAGUAGCUGAAAUGGUGUCAGUGCUGGUGGAGCAGCAAGCAGGGACCGGAGGGCAGUUGUGUCUGUAUGCUGCAGCCUUCAGCAUCCCCUCCAGCAUUUCUCACCUCCAAUGUUCAGCUCUGAAACAUAUGUUGACCACUCAAGGGAUCCAGUGAGUGGUUGGUUUGCCUUUGUGUUAUAGGCUGCAUGGAGAAUUCAAUCUAUUAGUAAAUCAGAGAACUGGUAAACUAUACUAGAUACUAGGAUUCAUUAGACAUUCAGGCUCCAAACAGGGCAGGUGAGCUUAAAAACCACAAGACGGCUGUUCUGGCACUUCUGCCCGUUAGAUCUCAGCCCUCAGCGAGGCGGUGUGAUGUGCACACGUGUCAAGCUGUUGCAGACAGCCAGCACCAUGUUUUCAGUUGGGCAGCCGCCGGGAUGUGCUGCACUCAGUGGAAGCACAGCCUGCGCUGUGCGCAAGCGUGGCACCUGCCCGGGGCCUGUCAGACCCCUGUCCUUCAGCAGCACGGACGUUGCUCCUGUCACUCAGCUCCAAAAAGGCCCAUGUAGGUCAUUUCUGGACUGUGUGGCUGUGAUACGCUGCCAGGCGCUGCACAGCAGUGAGUUUGUCAGGUGCAGGGUUGACGUGCUGAGCAGAAACAGACUGGUUAAUUCUAUUUCAAUUUCCAUUUCUUGAAGAUGCUCCUGCCCCAGUCUGUGCCUGUACAAGUGUGACAGUCAUCGGUGCGGGGCGCAGCUUGCUGUGGGACAGGCAAUACCAGCACGAAGCCAAGAUGGUGGCAUUUAACUGGAAGGCUUUGGAGAAUUUCCCAUUGCUGAUGUACAUUUUGGCAGCUAAAACAUUGAUUCUUUGCUUGGCGUUUGCUGGAGUAAAAAUGUACCAGAGCAAAAAAAUUGAAGAAAAACUGAAGAGGGAGCAUGAAAAGAAAUUGAAAGCAGAAGCAGAGAAGAAGGAUGACUGAAGAGUCUCUCAGGUAUAGAGUUUGUUUGACAUCCUGGUGUUUGCUAAUGGCAUUGACACAUUAAUCCCAUUGUCUUUUGAUUGAAUGCAUUUGGAUCGUGUGAUUAGAACUAUCACCGUCAUCUGAGUUCUUGUAAAGUUUGUCUCCUGUGGUGUUUCAGUGUAUUUGCACACCCAUAUCAUGCCCAUUCUUUGCAGGAACUGCAGUUCCCACCAGAAGACUUGGCAGCGAUGGUUCGUGAUUUAGGAGAUCUUAGCACAGUAUUCCUUCUCUGCUCUUUAUCUCCACCCAGCUAAUUGCACAGGAAGUCCUGAUGUUUAGAGAUGAUUAAAUUGGGCAAAAAAUGCAUGAGAAGUAUGCCAGGUGGAAUGAUGCAGUAAGACCUCUUGGCUUAAGUCACAUAAUUAAGAUAGAAAAGAAUCUGCCGUUCCAUAUUAGUUAAAUACAUGACAGGUUAUAGAUAGUUCAGCUGGAAGGGCCAAGUCUCAUGCCAUGGAACUUCCCAAGGUAACAGAAAUGCUACAGGGUAUGCUAUGUAACAUCCACCGUAUAUAAUUCACUGAGAAAAAUGGACAUCUUUCUGCAUAAAAAAGCAAAAUCAUUAUUACAGAAUUUUCUAGUUUGGGGUUUUCAUUCCACAUGUGCUAAAGUCCUUCCCUCUGUUUUCAAAGUUUAAGCAAUCAUUGUCCUACUGCAUCAAGUCCAUUAGCAAAAUGAGUGCUGCCUAGUGCUAAGUUGAUAUUCCCUGACUUGUUUGGUAUGUGAUUUUUUUGUAUCAUUAGUUUAUUUCACAUUUCUCUGUUCUGCAGCAAAAUGGGAAUUCUAUUCUUGCCUGCCCUUUGUAAGCUCAGUGGGAGUUUGAUGUAAUGUUACUCUUUAUUAAACUAGAAAAUUUACUUUCCCCUUUUCAGGUCAUCACCUCACAUCUGAAGAGAAUCUCAGUUUUAGAAAUGUUUACUAAUUUGUUUUGAAACCUCUCACUUUUAUUUCGUACAACAUUGGGAAUUUUGACUAGAAAUGAGGCCCUGGAAAUAACCAUGGGAACUAAGUGGUUCAUUCACAUUGAAAAAACAACAAAGCCAAAGGUGGUUUUCAAUCUCCUGUUUACACCAGGUUGAGGACUUGUCUCUGGGCAGACUUCUGCCAUUUUUAACUUUUAUUUUAUAUCAGUUUCACUAGCCACUGGGAAAUGCUGUGAGAACGCUGCUUUCUGGUUUUGCAAAGUCAGUUAGAUGGAGUUUUAUUGCUAAAAGAAUGAGAGAUGGGCUGCCCUGCAAGUGAACAAGCCUGCCACUUGUAACGACGAGACCAUACUGUGCUGUGCGUGCAGCAUAGGGUCCAAGGGAGUUCUCCUUGGCAGAGUCCAUAGCCCAAGGGAUUGCUGCACCAGGGUAACGAGCUCAUCCCGCAAGACCUCUGUGUCCAGCAUGUGACAUUUACCUUGAAUGACUGGCUUUAAAGCAUCCCUGAUAUGGCAGUAAAUGCCCUACUUGCCCAGUCACCCCGUGUUGCCCAGCAAUGGCCCAGUCCUUCCUAAAUUCUGCCUUCUCUUGGGCUGUCUGCCAUGUCUUUCUAUAAUGGGCUUGCAAAAAGGGGUGAAUUCUCCUACCCUAAAAAUGUUCUCCGGUGUCAGCACCGCAGAGCUGUGAUUAGCUCUGAUUGCAGCAUGCCACGUGGGCAGGCGGAUUUAGCCCAUGUGCUGCCAGUAUAUCAUGCCUGUUCUCACUGCUGUUUCUCCACCCUGCAGAUUUUCUGACACUUGGCAGCUUGCAUUGGAUUCCUUUCCUGGAAGAACGAAGCCUUCCUGUAGAUGAAGGAUGUGUCAAAGGAAUAAAACCCUCAAGAGUAACAUUCACUUAAACUGUAUCUCAAGUUUUUAUAUGUACAGCGAAAUAUCUGAGCCUCUAUUUAUGCAAUAAAAAAUCCUUUGUUAGAAAAA
Strigops habroptila (Kakapo) is the source of this 6265-nucleotide long non-coding RNA. NCBI's taxonomy places the organism in Eukaryota, Metazoa, Chordata, Aves, Psittaciformes, Psittacidae. The record is from Ensembl.